Long non-coding RNA from Homo sapiens (human), 896 nucleotides. NCBI's taxonomy places the organism in Eukaryota, Metazoa, Chordata, Mammalia, Primates, Hominidae. The record is from Ensembl.
GGCUGGUUUUGAACUCCUGACCUCAAGUGAUCCGCCCGCCUUGGCCUCCCAAAGUGCUAGGAUUACAGGCAUGAGCCACUGUGCCUGGCCUAAACCUGGUGAUUCUUGAGGCAUCUCUUUGUUCUCUGUUGCUAAAUUUUUGUGGUAACUGGACAAGAGAAACAGGACUGAAGCUGUUACUCCCCCAACUUCUGGGAGUGUUUUUGGCUGAAAGCUCUCAGUCAGAGCCUUGCUCUGGGAAUUGUCCUCAGCCAAGGAGAGGAAGAGUCAAACUUGACUUUUAAGAAGUGUUGAAGCCCUACAUUCCUUGAAAAAUUAUGCCGAAUAUCACCUGUACCUUUCAUUUUAUGGAUUGCAAAGGAAGUAGUUUACCAUGUGAUGUAAGUUAGAGGAUUGAAGAUUGCCCUUUGACUCUUGUGAUCAAUGAGAAAGUUUGCCGAAGACUUCUCUAUCUGUUCAUCAAGCUGCAGUCACUCAUCAUGAUGUGAGGCCUUUGCGAUUUAGUACUGACCCUUCCUCUAGACACUUCUCUCUCACUUCAUCAAGCUCAUCUCAUGACUGACCUUGGGUAGUAUAGUUUCCAGAGUGCAGUGCACCAGCUGCUGCUGCUUUUCCUGUGGUCCCAUGGGCUGCUUCUCCAGCCCCAGUAUGCACCAAUUUGUCUAGCUGGCAAGUACUAGUCCCUGAAGACUCAAUCCACACAACACUCCCCUGAGAAAGUGAUGCCACCCCAAAUCCAAUAUACACUGUUCCUCUGGGCCUCCCAGAGUGUUCUGCUAACGUUCCCAUGCAUAGCAGGCAACACUGUGUCCUAGUUUGUCUGUCAUCCCCGUUAAUCUCUGAUUUUUUUAAGGAUUUUCUUUUUUUCUUUUUUUUUGUUUUUUGAGACGGAGUCU